RNAcentral lists this ribosomal RNA (485 nucleotides) under Sulfitobacter pontiacus. Its description in RNAcentral is "bacterial SSU rRNA". It matches the Rfam family "Bacterial small subunit ribosomal RNA", at positions 62 to 595 of the family's 1533-position model. Lineage: Bacteria; Pseudomonadati; Pseudomonadota; Alphaproteobacteria; Rhodobacterales; Roseobacteraceae. The record is from RNAcentral.
UCGAGCGCACCUUCGGGUGAGCGGCGGACGGGUUAGUAACGCGUGGGAACAUACCCUUUUCUACGGAAUAGCCUCGGGAAACUGAGAGUAAUACCGUAUAAGCCCUUCGGGGGAAAGAUUUAUCGGGAAAGGAUUGGCCCGCGUUAGAUUAGAUAGUUGGUGGGGUAAUGGCCUACCAAGUCUACGAUCUAUAGCUGGUUUUAGAGGAUGAUCAGCAACACUGGGACUGAGACACGGCCCAGACUCCUACGGGAGGCAGCAGUGGGGAAUCUUAGACAAUGGGCGCAAGCCUGAUCUAGCCAUGCCGCGUGUGUGAUGAAGGUCUUAGGAUCGUAAAGCACUUUCGCCAGGGAUGAUAAUGACAGUACCUGGUAAAGAAACCCCGGCUAACUCCGUGCCAGCAGCCGCGGUAAUACGGAGGGGGUUAGCGUUGUUCGGAAUUACUGGGCGUAAAGCGUACGUAGGCGGAUUGGAAAGUUGGGGGU